RNAcentral lists this ribosomal RNA (253 nucleotides) under uncultured bacterium. Its description in RNAcentral is "partial 16S ribosomal RNA". It matches the Rfam family "Bacterial small subunit ribosomal RNA", at positions 524 to 776 of the family's 1533-position model. The record is from RNAcentral.
UACGAAGGGGGCUAGCGUUGCUCGGAAUCACUGGGCGUAAAGGGUGCGUAGGCGGGUCUUUAAGUCAGGGGUGAAAUCCUGGAGCUCAACUCCAGAACUGCCUUUGAUACUGAAGAUCUUGAGUUCGGGAGAGGUGAGUGGAACUGCGAGUGUAGAGGUGAAAUUCGUAGAUAUUCGCAAGAACACCAGUGGCGAAGGCGGCCUGCUGGGCUAUUGCUGACACUGAGGCGCGACAGCGUGGGGAGCAAACAGG